AAAAGGCUCAGGAGGGCCAAGUGUGCUUCAAUCUGCUCUGAUCGGGUUCCUCUAGACUUUCAUCCAUCUUGCGCAUUUGGGUUUUUCGACUCCACUUUUGGAAACAUGUCCCAGUGUAAGCAAGCAUGCAAGGCACCCCCCGAGCCCUGCUGUCCAACCAAGUGCCCCCCUAAGAUGGAAGUGAAGUGCCCCCCCAAGACAGUUCAAUACUUCCCUCCGAAGACGGUGGUGAAAUGCCCUCCCAAGACCAAGCAACCUCCCAAAGGCUGCUGUUGAUGCUCCCUCCAGUGCCGUGAAAUGAAAAACCAGUUCAGCUUACAUUGCACGCAAGAUGUUGCUGACAUCCCAAAUUGGCCUGCCGUGCUGCACCCGUCUUUACUUUGGGAAACCUGAGUUCUGCACUGUUGUCCUAACAUUAGUUGUUUCUGAUGCCAUCUGGUGGAAGAGCAUCUCAUUGACUGGUUGAGUUCCUGCUUGGAAUAUCCUUCUCAGAAAGAUACGACUCCUCCACACAUGUUGUCGAACUUUCUUAGCCGGUUAAUUGUCUACUAGUGUUCCAGAUAACCCGCAUGUGUGGGUGCACGGCAAUAAAAUGAACCACUACCCACCAA
Molecule: long non-coding RNA, 611 nt
Organism: Eublepharis macularius
Lineage: Eukaryota; Metazoa; Chordata; Lepidosauria; Squamata; Eublepharidae
Exons: 2
Source: RefSeq, a predicted model, not a curated record